UUUUUUUUUUUUUUCUUCUCCCCAUGACUGAAAUUAAAGCAGAGCUCCUGUGUUUAACACAUUAACAAUGACUAGGGGAGUUAUGACAAACACCUUUGCUCUGAGACUUACCCUUCCUUAAAUUUUAUUUUAUCAAAAUUAAUGUGCAUCUGACAAAGAACUAUGGGAUGCACACACUUGUGGAGGUUGCUGGAAAUAAAUCCCUUUCCUUGCUUUAACUUGUUUGCAGGGUUUCUGCAUGAGGAGAGCUACAAGGAGUUUGUUGUUUACAAAGUUCCACAUACAGCUAACCUCUGGCACCAGGUCCAGGAGGCUGCUCUGCUGCCUUCUCUCUUUGCUCAGCUGGCCUCCUGCCUAAUCUUCCUGCUGUAACAGGGAUGUUUGCAGUUACUUUCCCUCUCAGUAGCAGUUUGUGUUGAAUUGUGUGGUCAGAAAGACACAGACAAGAUUGUUUGUAGGCUUCUUAAAUUAGACCAGCUGCAAAAAGGAGAUGGUCUCUGAAGUACACAAGCUCCAGGCUAAUAAUCUUGUAGUUUAAAGAAUGCUUACUAAGCUUCAAAGGGUGUUUUCUCUCUGACAUCUCUUCAUAUAGUCCUGUAUUUAUUAUUACAAAAUAUUAUACAUUUACAUAUACAUAAAAAUAUUAUUACAUUUUAAGUCUAGGAGGGCUGAACUGAUUAUUGACCCUAUCUCCUGUUCAAGGGUCCACUGUAUUUCACCCAGUUGUCACACAGGGCAGUGACUGGAAUUUGGCCAAAGCAGAUGGUCCAGAGAGGUGUUCAGUUUUGAUAAUGACCAUGGCUGUUACCAUUUGUAAGUGCUCUUGGUUAAGUACUCAAGUGAAGGAACGUGCCUCUGUUAAAGUGGCUGAAUCAAACCCAUUGCUGUAAGCAUGUAAAAGCUUUGAAAAGAGUAGUUGCAAGGGAUUUCUGAAGGCUUCUCAUGCAACUUCUGCUUCAAAUCUUUAUCAUGUUGCUCAGGAUCUUUUUCAGUUGGACUUGGCCUGUCUCAGCGUACUCAUUCUGAAUCUUCCUGGGCUGCCAAGUACAAAAUCUUGUGGGAAAAUCUUAAAUCAGAUCCAUGACAAAAUCCAAGAGUAUCACAUUGAUGCAGUUGUUAUUGCCAAUCUAACCUGUCAAAUAAUGAAAAUCUGCUGAUGGCAUUCAUUGUUUUUAUUCAGUGAAUCAUUGUCAUAAACUGUUUCAUCUAAGAGCCUCGAAAUUGACCAAGGCAUUGACGUGAACUUUUCCGUGAAAUUUGCCAUCAGCGGAUCCAGUCGAGCCUACCUCAUGGCUGAGGUCUCCUUUGCUGCCUCAGUUGUGAACCUUUGCACCUCUGGCUCAUGCCUGGAAAUGAAAAUGUGUAAAUACCUUACACUUAACGCUGCUUCCAGCGGAGCCAGACCCAGGCAUUUCUGAAACACCAGUGCAGUACAGCUUGUGUGACGCUCCUGGGAGCAGCACAGAGCAGCUGCUGGAUGGCCAGGGCUUUGGGGCAGAUGGAGGAAGAUGUGGGAGCAAAGAGUGAACCCAUGUAGCUGCACUUCUCUAGGUCUCAUGGAAGUACAAUAACAGCUUGAAGUAAAAUCACUGUGUUUAUGGAUUCAUCAGAACAGCUUUUGCACAAAACUUGCUGGGUUACUCUCCAUCCCCUCUUUUUCUGUUGGAAGAUGGGUAAGAUGGCCUGAGCAAAGUUUUAAAUCUGUUUCAGUUCUUGGCCUCUGAGACAGAUUUUGUAUUUUCAUGUAAAACUGCCUUUUAUGACAGAUCUCAGAAAGAGCCACUAGCUUUUCAAGCCAGCAAGACAAAGAGAUAAAAUAAUUUAAAGAGUUUUCAAGUUUCACUGUUGCUAAUGAUCAGCUUGCCACAGAAGCCCUAAAUGAUGGGUUGGUGCUACAACUAAGGUGGCAUAACAGCUAUUGCUGCUAAGUCAGCUCCCCUCCCUUUCCUGUCCUUGGUCUCCUGCUAGUUUCUCUGAAACUAGAGUGAGGCAGCUCACAGAGCUCAAACAAAAAUAAUUAAAAAUAUGGGUGUGGGUGGUUUUUUUUUUGUUUUGUUUUGUUGGGGUUGUUUUUGAGUUUUUUUGGUGUCUUUAUUCUCAAUUGUGAACUGCCACAUCUUUAGUUUCACAAUAAUUUUAGAUUGACGUGAGCUGUGUAAAGUGGUCAACUCUGGCUCUUCCCUGCUUGUGUUCCUGUUGGAUCUCACAUCCCUUGUGCUGGGGGGCAGAUCUUGGCUCUGAUCUGGAGGAAAAUCAUCUCCCCAUUCCACUCCCUAAUUUUUCUCCAGGUUAGUUUAGAGAUGCUUUCAUGAUAUGGCUGAUUACAUAGCUGUACAAAUAUUAGGAGGAGGGGACAGGACCUCCUGUAGCUGGUAAAUUCCACUUGUUUUGGCUGAGACAUAACAUGGAAGGGCUACUUCAGAUAUGCCCUUGUAAAACUGGAUCUGUUUUGCCAGCACUGAAUCAUUUAUUCUCUACUUCCAUUGAAGGUAAAUUAGUGCAGAAUACAGCUCUAUGGAAAGAAAAUACAUAGGAUGAAAAGAGACUGAAGCAUAAAUGGUAAAACAUAGUGGGGUCCUCUCAGAAGUCUUUUUUCUUCCAAAGUAAUGGAGAUUGGCUUCAAUAAGGAAAAUAUAAUCUCUAAAACAUUCCUGCAUUUUAUGUCAGUUACUUACUUCCAGGGGAAGAUGAAUUUUGGGAUGGCACAUCAAGGGGCAAAUAAACUAUCAUGAGUUGAAUAUCCCAUUAAGAAAAUGCAUGCUUCUGGCUUUGUUUUCUUUCUUCUUCCCACAGCACCCAGCCAGACUGCUCAGAUCAGCACCCUACCGAGGGCAGCCUCAUUCUCAUAAACACACAAAGCCCCAAAAAGAAACUGAGCAAAUUUUUCCUAUGCAGAUGGUCCCCUCUGCCUUCACUGCCCAAAUGUAAAUGGGUGCAGAAAUUUCCAGAUGAAAGUUUAUGACAUAAAUGAAUCCCUGGUGAUUGAUUUUUGUUUUCCUCUCUGAAGUCCACACAAUGGGAGGCGGCUGCUUAUCACUGACUGCAGCUCUCUGGGCCCUCAGAAUUGCAGAGAAGACCUGAAGAGCCAUGGGAGGAGGGGAGUUCUCCCAGCAAAUCUUCACAGCAUCUCUCUGUUAUCCAUGCUUUCUCCUCACUCCCCCACCUCCCAGCCCAACAGAAAGCCCCAAGGUUUAUUUGAACUCUUGUAAUUAGAUCUGUCUGGGAGAGCAACCAAAGUGUCAAGGUUUCAAAGAGAAAUUCAGAAAAGUCAAGAGCAAGUAGAGACUUGAAAAGGGAAGUCGAAAAAGAAAGCUGGUCUUUAUCAUGGUAAUAGUAAUGAAGCCAAGCUGAAAAAGGCCAGACGAGGGGCUGGGUUACUGUACUGUGAAGUGCCAGGGCAGCAUCCCGAGAGAGGGGAUUAGAGAACCACUCCAGCCCUCGGGACCGCUGUCAUUUCUGGUCCUCCCUCGGAGCAGCGAUGGAGCGGGGAGCGCCCCGGCAGCAAACCCUGACCGACUGCGGGAGGCAGCGCUCGGAUGGGCAGGAGGAGGUUUCUCCCGCUGGAGAUGGGCGGGGAGCCGAUCCAGAGAAUGAAGGGAUGGUGGAAAAUGAUUUCCCGGAGGAGGAACCCUCGUUUCUGUGAAGCCGCCGCGCAAAGUCCCCGGCGCUGUGCGAGCGCAUCCCCCCCGGGUACCCCCUCCUUCGGCGCUGCAAUCAGGCUUCUAAUCAAUUAGGCAAAUUGACUGCAGGAGUGAGCUAUUUCCUACUCCUGGCAACAAAACCGGCUUAUGUUAACUCCGUGUUUCCCAGGAACCCUGCUCUUCCCCACCUUAUUUUUUUUCAUUUUUUUAUUUUUUUAUUUUUUUACGAAAAAAGCAGAGGAGUUUCUCGUAACUGUGCACUGUUACUGCAGACACCAAAAUAAUUUUGCUAAGCGUGGGAGGAUUUCGAUGAUCCUUUGAAAAUUUGUAAAUUCGGAUUCCAAGGGACAAGUAUUCCGGUUAAGCAGGGAUUGGGAACAUUUGCUCUUUAAAUGCCGUUCAGCCAAAGAGAGGAGUGCACAUGAGCAGAUUCACAUGUGGCCAGAGAACUAGUUCUGUAUGUAUUUAACUCUCGAGGCAUCGAGCAUGAGGUGCCUCUUGGCAAAUACAGCUGGGAAAGUCCUGAGGACAGACAGGAGUUCCAGAUGAAAGCUAAGCCGCACUUUCCCUUGCUGUUGUCCUUCGUAUCAGGAGUUAUUUCUACCGGGCUCCACAUAAGCAAAUCACCCAAGUCCCAAAGAUGUAGGCACAGCGUAUUGGCCAAAGGAUGUCACAUCCGUUCUUAAGCAAUAUUUUACAUAUACCAGACUGCUGGUUUCGCAGAUUGUUUCCAAAGAUGUCACCGGGCUGCACUGGUUCUGAUGGUUUUGUUCUGUCUGAUUUAAUUUGCUGUUUCAGGAGUUCAGUUUGCUGUAACUUUUAACAAGUUGGGACAGAAAAAAACAUCCCCCAGAGCGCUGAAUCAGCUGCUUUCCAAAAUGUGCAGCAGAGCAUCCCACCAAGCACAUGGCCCUGCUCCUGUUUCUGUACAGUCCCAGCCAUUGCUUGGGUCUCACUCUAGUGGGACACAGAGCUCUGGAAGUGUUUUAGAAUGAGCCACCCACACCAGUAUUCUAGAAAUUGAAAGUGGACCCUGCACUAAGAAUGAUUCCUGAAAUCUUCUGAAGCUCAGCUCCGGAGCCUUGGCUCACAGCUGGUCCUGAAAACACUCAGGAAUUCUAGAGAUCAAAUAACUCUCAUUAGAAAUAAAAUAACUUCUUUGUUGUUGUUGUUUUGUUUUGUUGGUUUUUUUUGCUAGAUUUGUUUCCUUGAAGAGGCAAGCAAAUAAUUCAAGCUACUGAAUUCACACAGAAAAGGAAA
Long non-coding RNA from Cyanistes caeruleus (blue tit), 4901 nucleotides. RefSeq lists it as uncharacterized. NCBI's taxonomy places the organism in Eukaryota, Metazoa, Chordata, Aves, Passeriformes, Paridae. The record is from RefSeq and is a predicted model, not a curated record.